RNAcentral lists this transfer RNA (76 nucleotides) under Anopheles gambiae str. PEST. Its description in RNAcentral is "partial tRNA-Ile". It matches the Rfam family "tRNA". Rfam says of the family: Transfer RNA (tRNA) molecules are approximately 80 nucleotides in length. Their secondary structure includes four short double-helical elements and three loops (D, anti-codon, and T loops). Lineage: Eukaryota; Metazoa; Arthropoda; Insecta; Diptera; Culicidae. The record is from RNAcentral.
GCUCCAGUGGCGCAAUUGGUUAGCGCACGGUACUUAUAAGAUGCCGUGGUUGUGAGUUCGAGCCUCACCUGGAGCA